Molecule: ribosomal RNA, 460 nt
Filed under: uncultured bacterium
Lineage: Bacteria
Description: partial 16S ribosomal RNA
Rfam family: Bacterial small subunit ribosomal RNA
Source: RNAcentral
CCUACGGGAGGCAGCAGUGAGGAAUAUUGGUCAAUGGGCGAGAGUCUGAACCAGCCAAGUCGCGUGAAGGAUGAAGGCUCUAUGGUUUGUAAACUUCUUUUAUAUGGGAAUAAAGUGCGGAACGUGUUCCUUUUUGUAUGUACCAUAUGAAUAAGCAUCGGCUAACUCCGUGCCAGCAGCCGCGGUAAUACGGAGGAUGCGAGCGUUAUCCGGAUUUAUUGGGUUUAAAGGGUGCGUAGGUGGUUAAUCAAGUCAGCGGUGAAAGUUUGUGGCUCAACCAUAAAAUUGCCGUUGAAACUGGUGGACUGGAGUAUAUUUGAGGUAGGCGGAAUGCGUGGUGUAGCGGUGAAAUGCAUAGAUAUCACGCAGAACUCCGAUUGCGAAGGCAGCUUACUAGACUAUAACUGACACUGAAGCACGAAAGCGUGGGGAUCAAACAGGAUUAGAUACCCGUGUAGUC